UUAAUCCCUUAGCUCAACUUAGUAUUUCUCUUACUAUUUUCACAGGAACUCUUAUCACAAUGCUAGGCUCACACUGAUUUCUCACCUGAACAGGCCUAGAAAUAAACAAACUAGCCUUACUCCAAUCUUAAUUUAAAAAAUAAAUCCCUGCUCUACAGAAGCAGCCACCAAAUAUUUCCUUACACAAGCAAGCACAUCUAUAAUUCUUAUAAUAGACAUCCCUCCCAAUAACCUGGCUUCCAGACAAUGAAAAAUUAUAAACACUAUCAAUCAAUUCUCAUUCUUAAUAAUAGUGGCCCUAGUAAUAAAACUAGGAAUAGCCCCCUUUCACUUCUGAGUCUCAGAGGUAACCCAAGGAAUCUCUGUAAUGUCUGGUAUACUUCUGAUAUGACAAAAACUAGCCCCUAUCUCGAUUAUGUUUCAAAUUUUCCCAUCAACAAACAUGAACAUCCCCUUAUCUAUCAGAAUCCUAUCCAUUAGAGUGGGCAGUUGAGGGAGACUUAAUGAAACCCAACUGUGUAAAAUCCUGGCCUACUCCUCAAUCACUCACAUAGGUUGAAUAACAGCAGUACUAAUUUAUAACCCAAAUAUUACCACCCUAAACCUGAUUAUUUACCUUAUCUUAACAACAGCCGCAUUUCUAGCACUCAACCUGAGUGUAAGCACCACAACCCUGUCACUAUCUCACGCCUGAAACAAAUGAGCAUGGCUGACACCUGUAAUUCCACUAAUUCUACUAUCCCUAGGAGGUUUACCCCCAUUAACAGGGUUCCUGCCUAAACGCAUCAUCAUCCAAGAA
RNAcentral lists this long non-coding RNA (799 nucleotides) under Homo sapiens (human). RNAcentral describes it as "non-protein coding lnc-PLXDC2-2:1". Lineage: Eukaryota; Metazoa; Chordata; Mammalia; Primates; Hominidae. The record is from RNAcentral.